This 253-nucleotide ribosomal RNA is filed under the name uncultured bacterium. RNAcentral describes it as "partial 16S ribosomal RNA". It matches the Rfam family "Bacterial small subunit ribosomal RNA", at positions 524 to 776 of the family's 1533-position model. The record is from RNAcentral.
GACGAACCGUCCUAACGUUGUUCGGAAUCACUGGGCUUAAAGGGCGCGUAGGCGGGCGGCCAAGUCAGGGGUGAAAGCCCCCAGCUCAACUGGGGAAGUGCCUCUGAUACUGGUCAUCUCGAGGGAGAUAGGGGCGUGCGGAACUUCCGGUGGAGCGGUGAAAUGCGUAGAUAUCGGAAGGAACACCGGUGGCGAAAGCGGCGCGCUGGAUCUCUUCUGACGCUGAGGCGCGAAAGCCAGGGGAGCGAACGGG